CCUACGGGUGGCAGCAGUGGGGAAUAUUGCACAAUGGGGGAAACCCUGAUGCAGCAACGCCGCGUGAAGGAAGACGGUUUUCGGAUUGUAAACUUCUGUUCUUAGUGAAGAAGAAUGACGGUAGCUAAGGAGCAAGCCACGGCUAACUACGUGCCAGCAGCCGCGGUAAUACGUAGGGGGCAAGCGUUAUCCGGAUUUACUGGGUGUAAAGGGGGCGCAGACGGCAAUGCAAGCCAGGAGUGAAAGCCCGGGGCCCAACCCCGGGACUGCUAUUGGAACUGGAUGGCUGGAGUACAGGAGGGGCAGGCGGAAUUCCUGGUGUAGCGGUGAAAUGCGUAGAUAGUAGGAGGAACACCGGUGGCGAAGGCGGCCUGCUGGACUGUGACUGACGUUGAGGCCCGAAGGCGUGGGGAGCAAACAGGAUUAGAUACCCUGGUAGUC
This 441-nucleotide ribosomal RNA is filed under the name uncultured bacterium. RNAcentral's name for it is "partial 16S ribosomal RNA". It matches the Rfam family "Bacterial small subunit ribosomal RNA", at positions 338 to 795 of the family's 1533-position model. The record is from RNAcentral.